Molecule: non-coding RNA, 2249 nt
Organism: Danio rerio (zebrafish)
Lineage: Eukaryota; Metazoa; Chordata; Actinopteri; Cypriniformes; Danionidae
Source: RefSeq, a predicted model, not a curated record
UGUUUUGCAACGUUUCCCUUGUUCCUGUAUUAAUAUUAUUGGUUUUAAUACUUCUGUAUACAAUGUUUAACUCUAUCGAAGCUAAAAGAACUCAUAAACGGUUCAUGUUUAGAUGCGUUCUAAAGCUAACUUGCUGUACUAAUUGAUCGUUGACAUUUUAUCUUAAUACGAAUGCAACAUAUUAACAUUUUAAGAGACUUGAACAUUUCUGCCUCAGUUUCCAUCAAAUUUGCCUAUGCAAAUUCAUCUGCCUCGGACAAAGAGUCAUAAACCAUGAGGCAGAGAAGUUAGUUUCUAACUGAUUAACUUUCAAUGGAGGGUGAAUCCGAACCCACCCCAUAAAGCUUGUUCAAAGCAAUUCCCUCUCUCUCUCUUAACUGGCAGCGCUCUAGAAAAAAAACUUUCUCUUGAACCAUACUCUCUCUUUUAACCGCAACUCUCUGGAACCAUGCCCUCUGAAACCAACCUUCUUUAACUAGGGCGCUCUACAACGGCCUAAAAACGAGACCUAAGCAGAGAAACCUCCAAGAAAACAGGCGGAGACCCAAACGGAAAGGGUUAAUCGCACAGCUCGGACAUUUCACAUCUCAGAUACCAUCUUUCCUUUAUUUUCCAUUGAGAGUCUAGUUAAGUUAGUGCGUCGCAAAUCAGUGGUCAGCACAACUGGCCCCUUUGGCCGCUUCAACUUCAAACACAGACUCAGCCCACUCCAAUCCUGGCAAGAACAAGGAACAACCAGCAGAACCACGUGCUCAACCAAGGGAGCUUCCUUAUGUGACCGUGUAUAGGAUAAGUGGUAGUGAUUGAUGUUGAUAACAACCAAUCAGGGGCCAGUGCUGCCUAUUUUAGAGCCGGUUGGCUGUGUUAGGUGAUGUGUCACCUCCAGCCCCGCCUUUCUUGUUCCGCGUUUGUUGACAUCUGUUUCAGCCUGGUUUUUCGUUGGUUUUCCUGUCGGUUGCCAUGGAGUUAAUGACUGCCACCCAUUCAGCUCGCUUGUAGCAUAAAUGGAGAUGACUAAUUCGUAAUACAUGAGUGUACUACUCCCGGCUUGGUAAGUUUCUUAUGUAGAGAUUAAAGGGGAAUGCUAGCGUGUGAUUUUGCAAACAGUAACCGUUUUGCAUGUGCAUAUCUCUUGUAGGAUUCUCCCUCUCUGUCCUGGGCGAUUAUAAAUAAAGAUCUAGCAUCUGUAACAUUACCCCGGUUGUGUUUGAAAGAUUCUGCUAUCCUGAGAUCUCUAGUGGAAAGAACUACUCCUGUUGUUUACUACUGCUGCCUGCUUCUACUAUCUGCUGCUGCUACAUUUACUGCUGCAGUUACUACUAGCUGCUACUGCUACCCGCUACUACUAUCUGCUGAUGCUACAUUCACUGCUGCAGUUACUACUAGCUGCUACUGCUACCCGCUACUACUAUCUGCUGCUGCUACAUUUACUGUUGCAGUUACUACUAGCUGCUACUGCUAUCCGCUACUACUAUCUGCUUGCUGCUACUUUACUGUUGCAGUUACUGCUAACUGCUACGACUAACUGUUACCUGCUCUAUUUACUGCUGUUGUUACUACGACCUGCUACUACUAUCUCCUAUUGCUACUGUUAUAUAAUUUGUGAUUUUUGUUCUGUUUGGUUGUGUGAUUCGGUGUGCAAAAGAGUGAGUUGUGUUCUGUGUGAAUCUUGCUUUUCUAUAGCGAAACUACAGAAGCUGUAUUUGGUUUUUCUUUUCUUGUGUUUGGUUUGUUGUUUGUUUUACUCUUGUAUAAUUUAUCUCGUAUAUUGAUUUUGAUUUUCCUUGCAGGAACUGAGGUCCCAGGGGUGCAGGAUCUUGAGGUGGUGGUGGUGUCACUGCACUUGACAUUUUUGCUGUGGACGGUUUGGGAAGUGUGGAGUGUGUGGAUCUAGUGUGGUGUGUGGUGUGUGGUGUGUGUGUGUGUGUGUGUGUGUGUGUGUGUGUGUGUGUGUGUGUGUGUGUGUGUGGAAGUGUGCUUUUUGAACACAACGGAGCACUGGUGAUUCCCCCCCAUGUGUGACCUCAGCCCUGUAAGUUAGUUUAUUCAAUUUAUUUCCCCGGUUAAUUUCAUUUUCAUAUUUACUUUGUAAUAACGUUGUUGUCUUCUAUAAAUUUGUUUUCUUUUUUUUUAUUUUAUUUUACUGCAGUUGUGUGGAGGGAGGUGCUGGCAAAAUGUUCAGAGAAUGUUAUGUGACUAUUUUAAUCUGCCACAAAUUCUGAAAAUAAAUUUUGUACUUUUAUACUAUA